CCCUUAAAGUUAGAAUAUUGCAUAUACAUUCUUACUCCAAACUUAUAUAAAAUAUAUUAUAUAUUUCUUUAAAUUUUCAAAUUUAUAAAUAUAUUUCUUAACUAGUCGAAAGACUCAAUAUUUUACUUAAAAGAUUAUUUUGUCCUUAUCUAGCUAAUUUCAUUGUAUUCAUAAAAUUAGACAUUAAAAAUAUUCUAUAAGGAAGGUAAUUAGAUAGAUCAAACGAUCUUGAUUUUCUAAUGAAAAACGAUAGAACAUAAUAUCACCAUUCUAACCAACCGUCAUUGUUGGCCACGAAAAGUUAAAAAAUAGCCUGUUAUAUUUGGUUUAGAUUUAUAGUUAUCUAAUUCUGAGGAUAAAUCCUAAUCUAAUUGGGAUUAGAUAUUAUUUAGAUUUAAUUUGGCAUAUAUGGAUUAUAAUUAGGAGUAUAAUUCUAAUUGAAUUAGAAUUAGACUCUAAUUAGGAGACAUGUAUUAUAUAUACAUGCUACGGCCAAGUUAAUGAAGCCGCGAGAAAAUUAAGCCAUGCAAAAUUAAUUAAGGGGUUGGUGCGGCUGAGACUCUCCUUUGUCCGCUAAUUAAUUAAAGCCUCUUGGAGCAAGAUCCCUCAAGCAUGGUGUUCCGUACGGUCAAGAACUCACCAUGCUAAUUAAUUAAGGAGGAGUGUUGCUAAUUAAUUAAGGAGGAGUGUUUCUUGUAUGCCUGGCGCAUUGGUUUGUCCGUACGGGUUGAGAGAAGUCACUUUUGGAGUUGCUUUGUUGCGGCGAUUCGGAUCUAAUUAAAUUUAUCGGAUUCUUUGAGAGAUCUUCUUGUACUCCGCCUUUUCGACAUUAAUAAAUUAUUUGCUCCGUCUUCGCCCGUGGAUGUAGGCCGUUGGUCGAACCACGUAAAUAUCGGUGUGUUCUUUUCGCUUAUCUUUUCGUUUCCUGCAUUAAAUUAUUUUCUGGAUCUAUUUUUCGCCGUUCCGAUUUUAACAUAGCCAUUAUAUUAAAAAAUAUUGAGUUUUGACUAGUUUGAAAAUAUAUUUAUAAGUUUUUAAAUUUUAUAAGAAAAUAUAAGAUAUUUUAAAGUUUAGAAAAAUAAGUACACAAAAUCUUUGCUUUGCGGGGAAAUAUAUAUGCGAUAAUUCUUAAAAAAACUCAUGAAAUCAACUUGAAAUCAUAUCCAAAGUAAUAAUUAAUUAUGAAGUCAACUUUAAUUAAGUGAAUCGAUUGUAGAGGUCACUUUGUUUCUUUAAUAUAGUUGUAAUUAAACUUUUAUUUAAAAAAAUAGAUUUAUUAACAGUACAGUGAAGAUGGAUGUAAAAUAUAAUAGUUAGUAGUAUCAUUGAAGAAAUAGAAUAAUAUAUGGUAGCCAAUAAAAAUAAAUAUAAAUUAUGGUGUAGAAAUGGAUAAAAAAUCAUAGUUUCACAAUGUUCUUGAAAAAGAAAAAAAAUAUUUCAUGACAUAGCAAAUAAAAAUAAUAUUAAGACCCUGUUUGGUUCAUCUAUUUUAGACUUUGCAAUCGAGAUGGAAUUCACUGAUUUUGAUAAUUGUUAUUUGCUUUUCAAGAAUUAUAUUCCGAUUCCCAUUACACUCUGAAAUGACAAGUAUGAUCCAAUUCGUUUAUAAUCUAAUCUGAUUUGGAAUUCUGCAUUGGUCCAUUCCAGAGUAAAUCACUUAAAACUCUCACUCGAUCAUAAGUACCUUCCCUUUCUCUUUCUUUAUUACUCUCUCCUUUUUUAAUCAAAAGCUUCUCUCAAUAUCCUAACUGCUUCACUUAUUCCAAGUUUCAUUCCAAUAACAGACCCAGCAAUUGUGGGUGAAUCAUUAUUUCAUUUUUCAUUCUAGUAUAAUCUAAUUUUAGGGGCUCAUGAUUGAAAUUGCAAUGAAAAAUAGAAUUAGAUUUAUUAAAUGAAAAUUAGAAAAGCGAAUCAGCCAAAUAUGUUUGGUUCAAUAUUGAAAUAAAAAUUAGAAUGAAAUAUAUGAUUUCGAGAGAGUGUUUUGAUUAAAAGAGAGGCAAGUAACCAAGGAAGAGGAGGGAAAAAUAUUUGUGAGAGAAGUUUUAAGUGGUUUACUUCCAAAUGGAUCAAAUUUCGAAAUUCAAAAUCGAAUUGAGCGAUAAAUGGAUUGGAUCAACUCUCAUUCCGUAACAGAAUAAAAAUCGAAAUUUAUUUCCUAAUAAACA
This 2165-nucleotide long non-coding RNA is filed under the name Ananas comosus (pineapple). RNAcentral describes it as "long non-coding RNA (ACOM_LNC019116)". Lineage: Eukaryota; Viridiplantae; Streptophyta; Magnoliopsida; Poales; Bromeliaceae. The record is from RNAcentral.